This 405-nucleotide ribosomal RNA is filed under the name uncultured bacterium. RNAcentral's name for it is "bacterial SSU rRNA". It matches the Rfam family "Bacterial small subunit ribosomal RNA", at positions 370 to 772 of the family's 1533-position model. The record is from RNAcentral.
AAUGGGCGAGAGCCUGAACCAGCCAUGCCGCGUGCAGGAAGACGGCCCUACGGGUUGUAAACUGCUUUUUUAUGGGAAGAAAAGGUUCUACGUGUAGAGCACUGACGGUACCAUAUGAAUAAGCAUCGGCUAACUCCGUGCCAGCAGCCGCGGUAAUACGGAGGAUGCGAGCGUUAUCCGGAUUUAUUAGGUUUAAAGGGUGUGUAGGCGGAAAGCUAAGUCAGUGGUGAAAUCUCUCGGCUCAACCGGGAAACUGCCAUAGAUACUGGUUUUCUUGAGUACAGUUGAAGUAGGCGGAAUGUGUAAUGUAGCGGUGAAAUGCUUAGAUAUUACACAGAACACCGAUUGCGAAGGCAGCUUGCUAAGCUGUUACUGACGCUGAUGCACGAAAGCGUGGGUAGCGAA